GCAUUAUUUUAAUUUUAGUUUCUUGUGUACAAUUUGGAAAUUAGUUUGGCGUUCAUUAUCACUGAACUAGUAUAUAUUUGUUUAGGGGCCAGUUGAAGGACGCCUCCGGGUGCGGGAAUUUCUCGCUACAUUGAAGACCUGUUGGUGACCUUCUGCUGUUGUUUUUUUCUAUGGUAGGGUUGUUGUCUCUUUGGCACAUUCCCCAUUUCCAUUCUCAAUUUUAUUGUCC
This 229-nucleotide long non-coding RNA is filed under the name Mytilus galloprovincialis (Mediterranean mussel). Lineage: Eukaryota; Metazoa; Mollusca; Bivalvia; Mytilida; Mytilidae. The record is from RNAcentral.